UUGCAGGACCUCCACUCUUGCAGCACCUGA
RNAcentral lists this non-coding RNA (30 nucleotides) under Rattus norvegicus (Norway rat). Lineage: Eukaryota; Metazoa; Chordata; Mammalia; Rodentia; Muridae. The record is from RNAcentral.